RNAcentral lists this unclassified non-coding RNA (240 nucleotides) under soil metagenome. RNAcentral's name for it is "partial contains 5.8S ribosomal RNA, internal transcribed spacer 2, and large subunit ribosomal RNA". The record is from RNAcentral.
AACGCACGAGACCUGCGGACCUGCGGAGGGAUCAUUACCGGGUAAUCAUGCGGCUCCAGGAGAGAGGGGGGCGUGCCCUCCUCUCCCUGGCAGCCCAUUGCCUUCACCCUUUGUAAACCUGUCCACAGUUGUUGGCGCAUGGGCGCGAGGGAGCCCCCGAUUCUUCGGGGCCCCAGGUGCCCGCCACACAACCCCCAAAACUCUGCUUCAAACCUUGCGGUCUGAGCGAAUUAUUUCGAA